Callorhinus ursinus (northern fur seal) is the source of this 158-nucleotide non-coding RNA. NCBI's taxonomy places the organism in Eukaryota, Metazoa, Chordata, Mammalia, Carnivora, Otariidae. The record is from RefSeq and is a predicted model, not a curated record.
GGACUCAAUGGUGGAUUUUAAUUGUGAUGUAGAAGUCAUAGUAACAAACAUUUGUUUUUAUACAGACAUUAUUUCCACUCUGGUGGAUAAGCUCAAUAAGGGCCAUAUGCCACCUCCCAAACACAUAUACAUAUAUAUAGUCACAUACAUUCCAUGUG